GCCGUUAGUCGUCGUUCAGCAUGUGAGCAUUUUGCUAGAUAUACACAUUAUACAAAAAAGAGCAUAUUUAUGUGCAUGUAUAAAUUGCACAGUAUGCAACCAAAAAUAUACAUAUAUGUUUUACAUGUAUGUGUUUCUAUAUGCCGUUUGACAUGGGAGAUGAGGGAUGCUAUACAUAGUUCUGUUAUUUUCUAUCAUGUAUGUGUGUUAGAGUGUCUGUGUUAAUAUACUUUUUAAUGCAUGCUCUACAUAAUAUACAGUAGUAAUAACACAGAGAAUACGUAUGGAAUGCGUAUCUCUCUAUAUAUAUUUAUGUAUAUAUGCUAUGUGUAUAUCAACCUCGCAUAUUUUCUCCCUGUGGACCACGGCUCCCCCAACGUGUCUCGAUGGAUGACAUGUCUUCCUAUUUCUUUGAAAAAAACACCAAAGUGCGAUAAGUGGGAUCAAUUGUGCAAUCAUUUCUUUGCCCAAUCUUUGAACGCAAACGGCGCAUGGGAGAAACUCUCUCUAGCCAUCCCCGUGCAUGCCACAUUUCUCACUGUCGAAUAUAUAAACAAAACACACACCUAUUUUGUGUUGUUCAACGCACGCAAAAAAUCUCGCCACCUCUCCUCCCCUGUGGUGGAUAUUCAUGGUUGUGAGUGUGCACAUAUACCAUAUCUUUUUACUCUUUCUACUCGCACCAUGGUGUAGAUACGCAUAUACUUGUGUGUAGUGAGUGAUAUGGAAGAAGAAAUGGGAAAGCGUAUGAUAUAUGUAUAUACACAUAUAUAUGUGUGUGGAGUGUGUGGUGAGCACAUAUUAAGAGAAAAGUUGUGUGGAUAUACAGAGAAGCUGCUGCGGUGGUGACAUGUGGAUAAUAUAUAUAUGAUAUGUGUGUGUGCGCUGUGAGAUAUAUAUCUACGAGAGUGUCAUAUAAUAUGUUGUAGCAUGUAUUUGCGCCCCGCAUAGAGAUAAAGAGAGAAUGUAUGCUAAAGCGCGGAUGUGGUAUGUUGAUCACGCAGCACAUAUUGUCGCAUGAGAUAGCAGAUUGCACAUGCUGCCUUCUGACCUCCAUUAUGAUUCACUGAUGCGAACCCGUACUGCAUUCCGCGGAAACAUACUUGGGCGUUUAU
This 1115-nucleotide unclassified non-coding RNA is filed under the name Trypanosoma evansi. RNAcentral's name for it is "partial ITS region". The stretch from base 376 to 544 matches the Rfam family "5.8S ribosomal RNA". The record is from RNAcentral. Lineage: Eukaryota; Euglenozoa; Kinetoplastea; Trypanosomatida; Trypanosomatidae.